RNAcentral lists this non-coding RNA (29 nucleotides) under Mus musculus (house mouse). Lineage: Eukaryota; Metazoa; Chordata; Mammalia; Rodentia; Muridae. The record is from RNAcentral.
UUUCUGUUAUUGGGAAGUUAAGCGUGGGC